Molecule: ribosomal RNA, 506 nt
Filed under: uncultured bacterium
Lineage: Bacteria
Description: partial 16S ribosomal RNA
Rfam family: Bacterial small subunit ribosomal RNA
Source: RNAcentral
GGUGAACGCUAGCUACAGGCUUAACACAUGCAAGUCGAGGGGUAACAAGAGGAAAGCUUGCUUUUCUUGUUGACGACCGGCGCACGGGUGAGUAACGCGUAUCCAACCUGCCUAUAACUAGGGAAUAACCUUGCGAAAGUAAGACUAAUACCCUAUGAUUUCCUUUGAUGACAUCAGAUUAGGAAUAAAGAUUUAUCGGUCAUAGAUGGGGAUGCGUCUGAUUAGCUUGUUGGCGGGGUAACGGCCCACCAAGGCAACGAUCAGUAGGGGUUCUGAGAGGAAGGUCCCCCACAUUGGAACUGAGACACGGUCCAAACUCCUACGGGAGGCAGCAGUGAGGAAUAUUGGUCAAUGGGCGGAAGCCUGAACCAGCCAAGUAGCGUGCAGGAUGACGGCCCUAUGGGUUGUAAACUGCUUUUAUACAGGAAUAAAGUUAGCCACGUGUGGUUAUUUGUAGGUACUGUAUGAAUAAGGACCGGCUAAUUCCGUGCCAGCCGCCGCAGUAA